RNAcentral lists this ribosomal RNA (461 nucleotides) under uncultured bacterium. RNAcentral's name for it is "bacterial SSU rRNA". It matches the Rfam family "Bacterial small subunit ribosomal RNA", at positions 339 to 797 of the family's 1533-position model. The record is from RNAcentral.
CUACGGGAGGCAGCAGUGAGGAAUAUUGGUCAAUGGGGGCAACCCUGAACCAGCCAUGCCGCGUGAAGGAUGACUGCCCUAAGGGUUGUAAACUUCUUUUGUACGGGGGUAAUUUUCGGUCUGCGGACUGAAUUGAAAGUACUGUAUGAAUAAGCGUCGGCUAACUACGUGCCAGCAGCCGCGGUAAUACGUAGGACGCAAGCGUUAUCCGGAUUUAUUGGGUUUAAAGGGUGCGUAGGCGGACCCAUAAGUCAGUGGUGAAAUACUGUCGCUCAACGAUAGCAUUGCCAUUGAUACUGUGGGUCUUGAGUACAGUUGAGGUAGGCGGAAUGUGCAGUGUAGCGGUGAAAUGCUUAGAUAUUACACAGAACACCGAUUGCGAAGGCAGCUUACUAAGCUGAAACUGACGCUGAGGCACGAAAGCGUGGGGAUCAAACAGGAUUAGAUACCCGUGUAGUCCG